RNA transcript from Molossus molossus (Pallas's mastiff bat), 4955 nucleotides. It is a transcript of the gene named PTPRF interacting protein alpha 3, with no coding region annotated. The transcript has 28 exons. Lineage: Eukaryota; Metazoa; Chordata; Mammalia; Chiroptera; Molossidae. The record is from RefSeq and is a predicted model, not a curated record.
CACGUCCCUCCAGCAGCCCAGCUCCGCCCGCAGCCGCCGCGGACCAGGCCAGCACCGCCGCCAUGAUGUGCGAGGUGAUGCCCACCAUCAGCGAGGAUGGCCGGCGGGGCUCGGCGCUGGGCCCGGACGAAGCGGGCGGCGAGCUGGAGCGCCUCAUGGUCACGAUGCUCACGGAGCGCGAGCGCCUGCUGGAGACGUUGCGCGAGGCGCAGGACGGACUGGCUACGGCGCAGCUGCGGCUGCGCGAGCUGGGACACGAGAAGGAUUCGCUGCAGCGACAGCUCAGCAUCGCGCUGCCCCAGGAGUUUGCAGCUCUGACGAAGGAGCUGAACUUAUGUCGGGAGCAGCUGCUGGAACGGGAGGAAGAGAUCGCAGAGCUGAAGGCGGAGCGGAACAACACGCGGCUUCUACUGGAACAUCUGGAGUGCCUGGUGUCCAGGCACGAGAGGUCACUGCGCAUGACGGUGGUGAAGCGCCAGGCCCAGUCCCCGGGCGGGGUCUCUUCCGAGGUGGAGGUGCUCAAGGCUCUAAAAUCCCUCUUCGAGCACCACAAGGCCCUGGAUGAGAAGGUCCGGGAGCGGCUGCGGAUGGCGCUGGAGCGGGUGGCUGUGCUAGAGGAGGAGCUGGAGAUGAGCAACCAGGAGACUCUGAACCUCCGAGAACAGCUGUCUAGGCGCCGGUCAGGCCUGGAGGAGCCCGGCAAGGAUGGGGAUGGGCAGACCCUUACCAAUGGCCUUGGUCCUGGCGGGGAUUCCAACCGGCGCACAGCUGAGCUGGAGGAGGCCCUGGAGCGGCAGCGAGCUGAGGUGUGCCAGCUGCGGGAGCGCCUGGCGGUGUUGUGCCGCCAGAUGAGCCAGCUGGAGGAGGAGCUGGGCACCGCCCACCGCGAGCUGGGUAAGGCCGAGGAAGCUAACGCCAAGCUCCAGCGCGACCUCAAGGAGGCUUUGGCGCAGCGGGAGGAUAUGGAGGAGCGGAUCACGACGCUGGAGAAGCGCUACCUGAGUGCCCAGCGCGAGGCCACGUCUCUGCACGACGCCAACGAUAAGCUGGAGAACGAGUUGGCCAGCAAAGAGUCGCUGUACCGGCAGAGCGAAGAGAAGAGCCGCCAGCUGGCCGAGUGGCUGGACGACGCCAAGCAGAAGCUGCAGCAGACGCUGCAGAAGGCAGAGACCUUGCCCGAGAUAGAGGCGCAGCUGGCCCAGCGCGUGGCCGCGCUCAAUAAAGCUGAGGAACGUCAUGGGAACUUUGAGGAGAGGCUUCGGCAGCUGGAAGCCCAGUUGGAGGAGAAGAACCAAGAACUGCAGCGGGCCCGGCAGCGGGAGAAGAUGAAUGACGACCACAAUAAGCGGCUGUCUGAAACAGUAGACAAACUGCUGAGCGAGUCCAAUGAACGGUUGCAGCUUCACCUCAAGGAGCGGAUGGGGGCACUGGAGGAAAAGAACUCACUGAGUGAGGAGAUUGCCAACAUGAAGAAGCUUCAGGAUGAACUGCUGCUCAACAAAGAGCAGCUCUUGGCAGAGAUGGAGCGAAUGCAGAUGGAGAUUGACCAGCUACGGGGGAGGCCACCAUCCUCCUACUCCAGGUCUCUCCCUGGUAGUGCCCUGGAGCUCCGUUAUUCCCAGGCACCUACAUUACCUUCCGGCACCCACCUGGACCCUUAUGGGGCUGGCAGUGGCCGAGUAGGCAAGAGGAACCGCUGGUCAGGGGUCAAGGAUGAGGCCUCCAAGGAGUGGGAGCGAUCUGCCCCUGCAGGGUCCAUGCCACCCCCGUUCCCUGGGGAACUGGAUGGCUCAGACGAGGAGGAGGCAGAGGGGAUGUUUGGGGCUGAGCUGCUGUCCCCCAGUGGGCAGGCCGAUGUGCAGACACUGGCCAUCAUGCUCCAGGAGCAGCUGGAAGCCAUCAACAAGGAGAUCAAGCUAAUCCAAGAGGAGAAGGAGACAACAGAACAAAGGGCAGAAGAGCUGGAGAGCCGGGUAUCUGGUUCUGGCCUGGACUCACUAGGCCGCUACCGCAGUAGCUGCUCCUUGCCCCCCUCUCUCACCACCUCUACCCUUGCCAGCCCUUCCCCUCCCAGCUCCGGUCACUCAACACCCCGUCUGGCACCCCCUAGUCCUGCUCGUGAGGGCACCGACAAAGCUAAUCAUGUCCCCAAGGAGGAAGCUGGGGCUCCACGAGGGGAGGGGCCAGCCAUCCCAGGAGACACCCCACCCCCCACUCCCCGCUCUGCCCGCCUUGAGAGAAUGACCCAAGCCUUGGCACUGCAGGCAGGAUCCCUGGAAGAUGGGGGGCCCUCACGGGGAAGUGAGGGCACCCCAGAUUCCCUGCACAAAGCCCCCAAGAAGAAGAGCAUCAAGUCAUCCAUAGGCCGUCUCUUUGGCAAGAAGGAGAAGGGGCGAAUGGGACCACCAGGACGAGACAGCUCUUCUCUGGCUGGAACACCCUCAGAUGAGAUGUUGGCCACUGACCCUCUGGGGCUAGCCAAGCUGACAGGCCCAGGAGACAAGGACCGAAGGAACAAGAGGAAGCAUGAACUUCUGGAAGAGGCCUGCCGCCAGGGCCUGCCCUUCGCCGCCUGGGAUGGCCCCACCGUGGUCUCCUGGCUGGAGCUGUGGGUAGGCAUGCCUGCGUGGUAUGUGGCCGCCUGCCGGGCCAAUGUCAAGAGUGGUGCCAUCAUGGCCAACUUGUCAGACACGGAGAUUCAGCGCGAGAUCGGCAUCAGCAACCCGCUGCACCGGCUCAAGCUGCGCCUCGCCAUCCAGGAGAUGGUCUCACUCACCUCACCCUCUGCCCCCGCCUCCUCCCGCACGUCCACAGGAAAUGUGUGGAUGACACACGAGGAGAUGGAGUCCCUUACGGCCACGACAAAGCCUGAGACCAAGGAGAUCAGCUGGGAGCAGAUCCUGGCAUAUGGCGACAUGAACCACGAGUGGGUGGGGAACGACUGGCUGCCCAGCCUGGGGCUGCCCCAAUACCGCAGCUACUUCAUGGAAUCGCUGGUGGAUGCCCGCAUGUUAGAUCAUCUUAACAAGAAGGAGCUCCGGGGCCAACUCAAGAUGGUGGACAGCUUCCACAGGGUGAGUCUGCAUUAUGGGAUCAUGUGCCUGAAACGGCUCAACUAUGACCGGAAAGACUUGGAGCGGAGGCGGGAAGAAAGUCAGACCCAGAUCCGAGAUGUGAUGGUGUGGUCCAAUGAGCGGGUCAUGGGUUGGGUGUCCGGACUGGGACUGAAGGAAUUUGCCACUAACCUCACGGAGAGCGGGGUGCACGGGGCACUACUGGCCCUCGACGAGACCUUUGACUACUCCGACCUGGCCUUGCUCCUGCAGAUCCCCACGCAGAAUGCACAGGUAAGCUGCCGCUUGGCCCGGAUCGUACUGGGUAUCCCCACCUCGCAGUCUGCAAGCUACAACUCCUCUCCCACCUCCCUUCCCCAGGCUCGGCAGCUCCUGGAAAAGGAAUUCAGUAACCUCAUCUCCUUGGGCACAGACAGGCGGCUGGACGAGGACAGCGCCAAGUCCUUCAGCCGCUCUCCUUCCUGGAGGAAGAUGUUUCGAGAGAAGGACCUCCGAGGUGUAACCCCCGACUCAGCUGAGAUGUUGCCCCCCAACUUUCGCUCGGCCGCAGCAGGGGCUCUGGGCUCGCCGGGGCUCCCUCUUCGCAAGCUGCAAUCGGAAGGUGGGCGGCUCCACAAAGCGGCAAUCCUUCCUCCCUUCUUCUUCGGGGUGGGAAAAGGACCAGUUCAACCUUCCAGAAGCCUCCCCCUCCAGGUUCUGAAAUGGCCUAGCCUAUUCUCCCCCACUCUUGGCAAAUGGGCCGCUCCAGUAUGCCAACUCUGUCCUCCGGGUGUGAAAUGGAUUAAUCUUGCACCUCCUUUCCUGGGCGGGAAAUGAGCUCGCUUAGAGUCACCUGGGGCACCUUGGGUGAAUCCAGUGCUGCGGGGAAAGGGAAGGAAACCGGCGAAGAUUAGGCGGUCGUUGUCAUUUCGGAAGGAGAAUUCCGAGGAAGGAAGCUUGGGGUUGAGGCUAGGAGAAGCCCCAGGGAGGACUGGGCGUGUGUGCGCGCUGAGCCGCUGCUUGCUCCAGGCUGAACCGCUGCUCGCUUUCCCUCCAGGCCAGACUUCGGGGAAUUCCCGGGCAGACGGCGUUUCGGUCCGGACCUAUUCCUGCUAGUGCAGGCCUCCAGGUGACCUCACUCGGAUGGAAGAAUCUUCCAGAGGCUGGGCUGUUUCCCUUCCAGCCCAGAGUGUGGUCCGGCCCGGGAGCGCGGCCCCGGAGCUCGUCCCGCGGACUGGACCAUCUGCACAGACUAGAGGGGAGCGCGCGUCCCCGCCUCACAAAUGGACUGGGCCUGGACCAAACCACAUGAACUGGACCGAGAGGGGGAAAGAAGAGGGCAGGAAGAAAUCCCGCCCCAAACUUCCACCUCCCUUUUCUCUACUUUGUAAUUUAUUGUUCAGUUUCCGGUGGGAGACGAGUGCCCAUUCCCCGCGGGCAGGAGGCGGGGUUUCCCUCCCGGGCCGCAUGCGAGGAGAGGCUGCCCCCUCCCCUUUCUCCCCCGUCGCGGGGCCCAAGUCUUCCUUCUUCGUCCGAAAGGAGGGGAGGGGGGACUCGCUGCUACAAGCCUCGCCCCUGUGCCACUCAGCCCCGCCCCGCCCUCUAGUCGCCCACGGGGGUCAGCUGUGGGCGGGGUCCCUCUCCCCAGUGUCUCGUGUCCCCGGGGCCCCUCCGCCCCCCGUGCUGUGGCCGUGUCCGUGCCCCAGGGGUAGGGGGCGCAUAACUGCGCUCCCCGUUCCCCUCUGGCUCCGGGGUUUGCAUGGGAGAAUCCUCUUUCCACGAUGCCACUGGGCGAUGUGGCGUGGGGGAGGGAGGACGGUGGGGGAGCCCUCGCCCCAAACUCUUGGUCGGCCUCCCUGCCUCAGGCGUCACUCAGUGAUCACGGGUAAAGAGAACUGUUUC